RNAcentral lists this long non-coding RNA (1592 nucleotides) under Homo sapiens (human). RNAcentral's name for it is "PREDICTED lncRNA (TCONS_00032384)". Lineage: Eukaryota; Metazoa; Chordata; Mammalia; Primates; Hominidae. The record is from RNAcentral.
GUCCUGGGGCUGAGCAGUGGUGCAACCCAGCCCUGAGGAAUUCCGGGAGUGGAGCCGACUUGGAAACUCAAGGCCAAUCUCAGGUUGAGACAUGGGAGCUCAGGAGGGGGAAUUGCACUGAAGAUUUGUCCCAUCGUGAAGCAAGAGCACUGGAACUUACACUCCACCAUCAGGCCCUGUCACAGGAGAACAAAGAAGGAAGGCAGAGGAGAUCAUGCUCCGGCCAGCAGGGAAUCUCCAUUUUUUUCAGCCUCAUACCUUGGAAAGUACAAAGGAGUGAGAGCUGGGACUACCAGCCAGAGGGUUCAUGGAGGUAGUGGGAGGGGAAGAUGGGUUCUGCAUGGAGCCACUCCAGGGACUUUUCUUCUGUCUCACAGCCUGACAAUCACCUCUAGCUGUUCUCAGUCCCAUUCUCAUCAAUGACCUCGUCUCCUGAUUUUGUACAAUAUCUAGGUGACCUUCUCUUCUUUCCAUCUUCAAACGCUUGAUCAUUGAUGCUCCCUUUUCUCUUCUCUCUCCUCCUGGGAAAAGAGAAGGACCAACAUCCCCCUUUCCCUUCCUCCUGUGCUGUCCCGACCCCUCUGAGACCUGGCUCUAGCAGUAAGUCCCUCUCUCUUCUGCAGCACCAGCCUCUGCCCAUCCCUGCCCUCUGCACACAAAGCUCUCACAUUGUCUGCACUUUAAGAACUUUUGUGGCAAACCCUGGCAAAUCCUGCCACUUGUUUCCACUCUUCUCAAAUGGCUUUGAGGUCAUCAUUGACCUAUCCCAUUUGACCCUGUCCUGUAUCUGAUGUUGUACCCUUUCUCCUUGAUCCCACUCUGGCAACUCUCCCACUCCCCUUUCUUGGAUCAACUGUCUUGCUCCUCAGUCUUGAUCAAUGCCUCCUUCUCUCUCUUUAGCCUUGGCCCUUUUUGGCCAGGGAAAUAAAUGUGAAAUACAUAAAGCUUCAUUUUAUCUUAUGAUUAUAGCUAUGUUGAUGUUACCCAAGACCUAAAAGUCACACUCUCUAAUUACACUUCCCUCCUGUGUUCUGGGUCCUCUUGGACCAGUCCUUACUCUGGCUCCCCUCCUGGAUGUCUCCCAGACUUCUAAUUAGAAUUACUGUUUCCUAUAUCAAGCUAAUUAUCUUUCCCACCAACCUCCUCCAUCCUUGGGUGAAAGCAUCACUUGGUUGCAAAAGUCAGAAAUCUGGGUUUCAUUCUUGCGGUAGGUAGAAUAAUGCCCCCAGGCCCCAGGUUUUGACAUCCGAAUCCCUGGGACUUUGCAGAUGUGAUUCAGUUUAGGAUUUUGAGAUGGGGAGAUUAUCUGGGAGAGCCUGAUGUCAUCAUAAGGUUCUUAUAAGAGGGAGGCAGGAGGGUUAGAGUGAGUAGUAAGAGAUGCAACAGUGGAAGCAAGAGGUUGGGGUGAUGUGGCCACAAGCCCAGGAGUGCUGACAGACAUCAGAAGCUGGAAGGGACAAGGAAUGGUUUCUCCUCUGGAGCCUCCAGAAAGAACCAGCCCUGCUGACACCUUGAUUUUAGCCUUGGAAGACUCAUUUUGGACUUCUGACCUUGAACGUUGUAAGAGAAUAAAUUUACAUAUUUUAAACUGG